UUGGAGGGCAAGUCUGGUGCCAGCAGCCGCGGUAAUUCCAGCUCCAAUAGCGUAUAUUAAAGUUGUUGCAGUUAAAAAGCUCGUAGUUGAAUUUCGGGAUUGGCGCAUCGGUCGUGCCUCACGGGGUAUGAACUGGUGCAGUCAAUUUCUCACCUUCUGGAGAACCGCGAUGUCCUUAAUUGGAUGCCGCGGGGAACCAGGACCUUUACUUUGAGAAAAUUAGAGUGUUUAAAGCAGGCAUUUUUGCUUGAAUACAUUAGCAUGGAAUAAUAAAAUAGGACGGCAUGGUUCUAUUUUGUUGGUUUCUAGGACCACCGUAAUGAUUAAUAGGGAUAGUUGGGGGCAUUAGUAUUCAAUUGUCAGAGGUGAAAUUCUUGGAUUUAUUGAAGACUAACUACUGCGAAAGCAUUUGCCAAGGAUGUUUUCAUUAAUCAAGAACGAAAGUUAGGGGAUCGAAGACGAUCAGAUACCGUCGUAGUCUUAACCAUAAACUAUGCCGACUAGGAAUCAGACGAUGUUAGUUUUUUAAUGACUCGUUUGGCACCUUACGGGAAACCAAAGUGUUUGGGUUC
This 572-nucleotide ribosomal RNA is filed under the name uncultured Glomeromycotina. Its description in RNAcentral is "SSU rRNA". It matches the Rfam family "Eukaryotic small subunit ribosomal RNA", at positions 548 to 1114 of the family's 1831-position model. The record is from RNAcentral. Lineage: Eukaryota; Fungi; Glomeromycota.